RNAcentral lists this long non-coding RNA (606 nucleotides) under Homo sapiens (human). RNAcentral describes it as "HSALNT0279891". Lineage: Eukaryota; Metazoa; Chordata; Mammalia; Primates; Hominidae. The record is from RNAcentral.
CCCCUUCACUCGGUUCUCAUUCCUCUCCUUCCUGCCAUCAUGUGAAGAAGGAAGUAUUUGCUUCCCCUUCCACCAUGAUUGUAAGUUUCCUGAGGCCUCUCCAGCCAUGCUGAACUGAAAAUCUAUGCUGAGGAUUUAAUGGAUUACUGCUAACAUCUUCCCCACAGCCAACUAAAGGGCUGAUUCUGAGAUGGGAGCUCACGCACACCACCCCCUUUCAAGAAAAUAUAAUGCAACGCGCUCCGAUGUAAACCCUACGGGCAACGGAUGCCUUCAAAAAGCAUAAGAUAAGAGCAACAACAACAACAACAAACCACCGCCCCCCCCAAAAAAAAUGACCAAAUAGAAAUAAAAUAAAAUAAAAAUAAAAAGAAGCCAUACUACCACCUUGUGGAUCCAGCUCGCAAGAACAUCACCUGCUUAGUUCCAAAACCCCCACCCAACCCCCACCCCAAAUUUCUUAAGUUGGGUCCAAAUGACAGAUCGGGAUCCUCUGUCCUCACUCCCCGCAGACUCGCCCAAGCCCUAGGCUGAAUUCGUGACGCGCGCGCCCAGCACCCGGGCGAGUUGCAAGCCCCGGCGCACCGCAGGGGCCAAAACCCCGCC